UUGUUGGUAAGGUAAAAGCUUACCAAGGCUUCGAUCAGUAGCUGGUCUGAGAGGACGACCAGCCACACUGGGACUGAGACACGGCCCAGACUCCUACGGGAGGCAGCAGUGGGGAAUUUUGGACAAUGGGGGCAACCCUGAUCCAGCCAUGCCGCGUGAGUGAAGAAGGCCUUCGGGUUGUAAAGCUCUUUCAGCCGGAACGAAACGGUUACGGAUAACACCCGUGACUACUGACGGUACCGGAAGAAGAAGCACCGGCUAACUACGUGCCAGCAGCCGCGGUAAUACGUAGGGUGCGAGCGUUAAUCGGAAUUACUGGGCGUAAAGCGUGCGCAGGUGGUUUUGUAAGUCAGAUGUGAAAGCCCCGGGCUCAACCUGGGAACUGCGUUUGAAACUACAAGACUAGAGUGUGGCAGGGGGGGGUGGAAUUCCGCGUGUAGCAGUGAAAUGCGUAGAGAUGUGGAGGAACACCGAUGGCGAAGGCAGCCCCCUGGGUCAACACUGACGCUCAGGCACGAAAGCAUGGGGAGCAAACAGGAUUAGAUACCCUGGUAGUCCAUGCCCUAAACGAUGUCAACUAGUUGUCGGGCCUUUACGGGCUUGGUAACGUAGCUAACGCGUGAAGUUGACCGCCUGGGGAGUACGAUCGCAAGAUUAAAACUCAAAUGAAUUGACGGGGACCCGCACAAGCGGUGGAUUAUGUGGAUUAAUUCGAUGCAACGCGAAAAACCUUACCUACCCUUGACAUGUAUCGAAGCCCGCAGAAAAGCGGGGGUGCCCGAAAGGGAACGAUAACACAGGUGCUGCAUGGCUGUCGUCAGCUCGUGUCGUGAGAUGUUGGGUUAAGUCCCGCAACGAGCGCAACCCUUGUCAUUAAUUGCCAUCAUUUAGUUGGGCACUUUAAUGAGACUGCCGG
Molecule: ribosomal RNA, 916 nt
Filed under: uncultured bacterium
Lineage: Bacteria
Description: bacterial SSU rRNA
Rfam family: Bacterial small subunit ribosomal RNA
Source: RNAcentral